This 468-nucleotide ribosomal RNA is filed under the name uncultured bacterium. RNAcentral's name for it is "partial 16S ribosomal RNA". It matches the Rfam family "Bacterial small subunit ribosomal RNA", at positions 28 to 507 of the family's 1533-position model. The record is from RNAcentral.
GACGAACGCUGGCGGCGUGCUUAACACAUGCAAGUCGAACGGAAAGGCCCUGCUUUUGUGGGGUGCUCGAGUGGCGAACGGGUGAGUAACACGUGAGUAACCUGCCUUUGACUUUGGGAUAACUUCAGGAAACUGGGGCUAAUACCGGAUAGGAGCUCCUGCUGCAUGGUGGGGGUUGGAAAGUUUCGGCGGUUGGGGAUGGACUCGCGGCUUAUCAGCUUGUUGGUGGGGUAGUGGCUUACCAAGGCUUUGACGGGUAGCCGGCCUGAGAGGGUGACCGGCCACAUUGGGACUGAGAUACGGCCCAGACUCCUACGGGAGGCAGCAGUGGGGAAUAUUGCACAAUGGGCGGAAGCCUGAUGCAGCAACGCCGCGUGCGGGAUGACGGCCUUCGGGCUGUAAACCGCUUUCGCCUGUGACGAAGCGUGAGUGACGGUAAUGGGUAAAGAAGCACCGGCUAACUACGUG